UGUAAACAGGAAGAGAGUCCAUGCUCUGACCUUUGUUGAGGUGCUAGAGCUCCAGGAUUCCAGCUUUUGGGAGCCAUCAUCCAUGCUGGAGUUUUUGGUGAUACAGCUGCCUUUGAGUUUUCUCUGAUCCUGUAAGUAACCCCUCAUCCAUACUUCUCAUAUAUCAAAGACCAGCAUCUCUUCAGAAACCUUCCAGGACUCCAGCACCAGAUUGGGGCUGCAGAGACAUCCAAUCUCAUGAACUAGACAACUAUCAGAUUCUUGCCUUUCCACUGGGAGACUGCUGUUGUUGGAAUAUCUGGACCACAGCCUAUCCAGGGAAAUAAUCAUAGAAUGGAAUUGGGGACCUAUGGGCUCACAGUGAGAUGGACCAGACUGGACACUCUGUGGAUCUUCUUACCUGUGUUUCCAGAGAGGUCUAACCCGGCAGGAGUGAGAACCUUCCAGCAGGUGAGCCAGUACAAAAAAGCCUAAAGAAAAAGCGGUGUUGGCUGCCUGCCUUCCCUUGGUCUGGAGCCAGUGCUUGGCUCUGCUGCCACUGUCCUUCUCUGACGUCAGACUCAAGCUUCUUCAGCCUUCUUCCAACACGAACUGAACACUAGUGACUCUCCAGGAAUCUUCCAGACCUUCGGCACCAGGUUGGGACUGCUGAGGUGAUCAACUUUGUGGACUAAACAGCAUCUCUAGUGUCGUCCUGUGCAAGAGACAGAUGGAUCAUGGAGAAUGGCAGUUGACUAUGACAAACGGUGAAGCAGAGCGAGAUGACAAGAAUGGAACCAGGGAAGAAGUGCUUGCCACCAGAGCCCCCGAACUUUCUGUCUCGGGACCAAAUGCUUGUGACGUUGGGGGAAUCCCCUAGGGAGAAAACCCCAUGUGUCUUCAGAUGUGGAGUGCUUUAGUCCUCCUAUUUGAGGAAGUGAAUGUGUGGGAAGGAGCGAGCAUGCACAUCAGAAACACAAGAUGGCUUUAACAGGCUUCUUCGCCAUGUGUCUGGCGACCAGUUUCAGGAUGGCUCUGAUUUGGGGGGACCCUCUCUUUCUGGGUCUGGGUGUGAGGCAGGGUCACCUCCCUCAGGGGAAGUUCUCUUAUAGGCUGCAUUUGGGGCCUCAGCUUCGGUUAGGUCAGUGUAUCUCCUUGGGACUUAGCAGCUCGUACAGAUUGUGUGACCAUUUAAGAGCAGGUGAAAGUUCUCUGUAGAGGUGGCUGAACUGUCGUGUGGCGCUGGUGGCUACAGGAGCAGGAGUUUUGGAUCCUGUUUCCCACCGUGCUCUGUCACCAUCCCCCAGUAGGUGAUUAGGAGGCCGUGGUAAGCAUAGUAAGAUUUCUCCCUCACUUUGCAACACAGAUGAACCAUGGUAUGGUAGGAUAGCCACUCCCAGGAGGGCCUCAGACUCCCCAGAUCCACAGAGACAGCAAGCAGGACAGGGAGCCGGGAGCUGGGGAGGGAGCAGGGAGUCAGUGUUGAAUGGGGACAGAGUUUCAGUCUGGGAAGAUGGAAAGUUCUGGAGGCAGAUGCCGUGGGUGGAUGUUAAUUCUGCUGAGCUGUGCACUUGAACGUGGUCAAAUGGCCAGUGUCAGGCACAGCGCAUUUGACCAGUAUUAGAAGAAAGAAUUCUUGUUCAGACACGAUCAUCGUGUGUCCCUCAAAGCAAAGAGCUUCACCAGCCAGUGGAAGCUGGAGAAUGCAGAGCACAAGGAAGGCCAGGCCUGCCCCAUGGGUCUGAAGAAGAGGCUGGAGGGCAGUGAACCAAAUUCACAGAGCAGAAAGUUGUCCUAGCUGGCAGCCGCCGAGGAGAGAACACAGCUGCAAUCAAUUAGGUUCUUCCAGCAGCCAGAGUGAGCCCAGAUGGGGGAGCUUCUAGAAGCCUCCGAGUAGGGCCCAGCUAACCUGUCCUCUUGCCUGGUGGAGAACCUGCCCACCCUAUCUGGGCUCUGACCCACAAGCUGCUGCUACUUCAGGUUGCUGUUGUGAGCGCGCGUGCGCACGCACGCACGCAUGCACGCACACACGCGCUGCAGGCAUGGCCCCCAGGGCAGGGCUCAGUGGCUGGAUUUCUGGGAAGUGAUUAAUAUGGCAUUUUUAAAAAGGAAACUAGAAAGUGAGGCCCCCUUUGAGGAAGAGGUCACUGAGUGGUGCCUUGAGAAGGGGGUUUCUUUGUCUUUGGCCCUUCUCUCUACUCCUGGCCACCAUGAGGUGUUAGCUUGACUCCACUGUACACAUAGCCUGCUGUGUUCUGCCUCAUUGGGGCCCCCAAACAAUGAAGCCAGCUAACCAUGGGCAGAGACCUCUAAAAACCCGAGUCAAACUAAGUUGACUUUCUCAGGUUUGAGUUGGUUUUCUUCCCUUCUUUCUUUAAGUUGACUUUCUCAGGUAUUUUGUCACAGUGACAGACACAGACUUUGCCACCAGGUUUAUGCUCUUCCCUUCCCAGCAUAGGACAUGAAUGUGACAAUGUCUGGAAGGGGCAGGCGCAGGACUACAUCUGACCAGGGCUCCUGCCCACCCUGUGCUGGUUUCCUCUGUCCUUGACCUAGUCUGUCCUGUUCCACAGACUCACCAAUUCACCCUAGGUGUUUCUAUCUGUUCUGCAUGGAGCUGUUUACCUGAUGUCAUAGUUUUAAUCUGGUGUCUUCCACAGGCUCCUGAAUGUUUGCUCUGUGUCACGGGUUUGAUGUGAAAUGUCUCCCACAGGCUCAUAUUCUGAAUGUUCUGUCCCCAGCUAAUGAUGGUAUUGUAGAGCCUGUAGGAAGUAGAGUCUGGCUAGCAGGAGGUCAUUAGGGGUGGGCUUUGGAAGGUUAUACCUGCCUGUGGUGGUUUGAAUUAAAAUGGCCCUCAUAGGCUCAUAGGGAGUGGCACUAUUAGGAGGUGUGGCCUUAUUGGAAGAAGUGUGUCAUUAGAGACUGGCUUUGAGGUUUCAGAUGCUCAAGUCAGGCCCAGCAUCACUCUUUCUUCCUACUACCUGCCAAUCCAGAUGUAGAGCUUUCAGCUACCACUCCAGCACCAUGUCUGCCUGCAUGCUGCCAUGCUUCCCAGCAUGAUGAUAAUGGACUAAAAACCUCUGAACUGUAAGCCAGCCCCAGUUAAAUGUUUUCCUUUAGAAGAGUCGCCGUUGUCAUGGUCACAGCAAUGGAAACCCUAAGACACUGCCCCUGGUUCCACUCGACCUGUUCUCUGCUAUUACUUGACUUUUCUCUGGGAAACACGAGCGAGAAACCAGUCACUCCAGGUGGGGCAUGGACAAUAGAGAGGAUUCUACUCAAGUUUCAACUUGAAGCAAU
Molecule: non-coding RNA, 3279 nt
Organism: Peromyscus maniculatus bairdii (prairie deer mouse)
Lineage: Eukaryota; Metazoa; Chordata; Mammalia; Rodentia; Cricetidae
Source: RefSeq, a predicted model, not a curated record